ACGAACGCUGGCGGCGUGCCUAAUACAUGCCAGUUGAGCGCUGAAGGUUGGUACUUGUACCAACUGGAUGAGCAGCGAACGGGUGAGUAACGCGUGGGGAAUCUGCCUUUGAGCGGGGGACAACAUUUGGAAACGAAUGCUAAUACCGCAUAAAAACUUUAAACACAAGUUUUAAGUUUGAAAGAUGCAAUUGCAUCACUCAAAGAUGAUCCCGCGUUGUAUUAGCUAGUUGGUGAGGUAAAGGCUCACCAAGGCGAUGAUACAUAGCCGACCUGAGAGGGUGAUCGGCCACAUUGGGACUGAGACACGGCCCAAACUCCUACGGGAGGCGGCAGUAGGGAAUCUUCGGCAAUGGACGAAAGUCUGACCGAGCAACGCCGCGUGAGUGAAGAAGGGUUUCGGAUCGUAAAACUCUGUUGGUAGAGAAGAACGUUGGUGAGAGUGGAAAGCUCAUCAAGUGACGGUAACUACCCAGAAAGGGACGGCUAACUACGUG
RNAcentral lists this ribosomal RNA (496 nucleotides) under uncultured bacterium. RNAcentral describes it as "partial 16S ribosomal RNA". It matches the Rfam family "Bacterial small subunit ribosomal RNA", at positions 29 to 507 of the family's 1533-position model. The record is from RNAcentral.